Priapulus caudatus is the source of this 720-nucleotide long non-coding RNA. RefSeq lists it as uncharacterized. The record is from RefSeq and is a predicted model, not a curated record. The transcript has 2 exons. NCBI's taxonomy places the organism in Eukaryota, Metazoa, Priapulida, Priapulimorpha, Priapulimorphida, Priapulidae.
GACGGCAUGUAUCUCGCGUUUUACGGGAAUUCCGGUUCCCGGACGAACGGAGAUAUAUAACUGUCCAAUGUCAAGUUGUUACCGUUGUGUGGUAUACACAAUUGCUAUCAGCCAAGCUGCAACGGAGAUAGAGUGCACAGGUACAAACGUGAGGUAAUGGAAACCACAAAUGACGAGAGAAACGCCACGCAGAGCAAGGAAUCUGAAGACGUCAGAGAAAGAAUGGAUGUGUACAACAGCGUCACUAUUAAACUGCCUAAGCAAUCACACUCGGGUUCUGCGGUGUCCGGGGCCAACGCCGACAAAAACGUAGACGUUAAAUUUAACUCCAACAUGGGUCAACAAGUCUGCAUGUCCAAAGAGAGCUUGACCAUCGCGGGGGUGGUUGUUGCUGCAGUCAUUGUCAUUGCCAUGAUAACAGUAAUCUUUGUCUAUAUUCGUUUAAGACUGACGUAAGACGCUAGAUAUCAAAGAUGAUAAGAUCGGACCGUCGAGCCACUGAACCAAUUAUUAAUUACUGUAUGAACAAUUUAUGUGCCCAGUCUUAUUCUGUGAAUUAAUAGUUGUAUUUCUCAUUUUAGUGUCGCUCCAAUGAGCAUUUGUAAAGAGUAGUUAGAGGAUACUGUGGGGAGGAAAUAUACAGUGCAUGUAAUUAUAAUCAUGAAUGGAAACGUCGUAAUCCAGUUAAGUGUAAAUAUUAUAAAAUUGUAUUCUUAAGUA